This 382-nucleotide ribosomal RNA is filed under the name uncultured bacterium. Its description in RNAcentral is "bacterial SSU rRNA". It matches the Rfam family "Bacterial small subunit ribosomal RNA", at positions 29 to 384 of the family's 1533-position model. The record is from RNAcentral.
AACGAACGCUGGCGGCGUGGCUAAGGCAUGCAAGUCGAACGGAUCUAUUCCAAGGGUAACUGAGGAGUAGGUGAGUGGCGGACGGGUGAGUAAUACAUGGAUAACGUACCUCGGAUUCAGGGAUAACGGCGGGGGCUUCGGCCUCCUUUGCGAAAGUGUUGCUAAUACCUGAUGAACUCGCUUUUUCUCAUGAUAAGGCGGGCAAAGUUACGGCGAUCUGAGAGCGGUCCAUGGCCUAUCAGCUAGUUGGUAGGUAACGGCCUACCAAGGCUAUGACGGGUACCGGGUGUGAGAGCACGACCCGGNACAUCGGGACUGAGACACUGCCCCGGACNCCUACGGGUGGCUGCAGCAACGAAUAUUCCGCAAUGGGCGAAAGCCU